RNAcentral lists this ribosomal RNA (253 nucleotides) under uncultured bacterium. RNAcentral's name for it is "partial 16S ribosomal RNA". It matches the Rfam family "Bacterial small subunit ribosomal RNA", at positions 524 to 776 of the family's 1533-position model. The record is from RNAcentral.
UACGUAGGGGGCUAGCGUUGUCCGGAAUCAUUGGGCGUAAAGAGCGCGUAGGCGGCCAGAUAAGUCCGGUGUGAAAGUCAAAGGCUCAACCUUUGAAUGCCGCUGGAAACUGUCUGGCUAGAGUCCGGAAGGGGCGAGUGGAAUUCCUGGUGUAGCGGUGAAAUGCGCAGAUAUCAGGAGGAACACCGAUGGCGAAGGCAGGUCUCUGGGCCGGUACUGACGCUGAGGAGCGAAAGCAUGGGGAGCGAACAGG